AAAUACAGUACAGCCAAAAACUUUCAAAUUUGAUGAAUCAACAGGUUUACCACACCAUUUAGAUUCAGGCAAUUCCCCAUUCAAGGGCACAGAAGGAGACCUAUUUAUCAAAUAAGCAGCUGUAAAGGUUUUUAAUUUAUUUUACAGUUCUCCCUAUUUCUUUCUAAUCCUCUUGUUCUUCUCCAGUUCUCCCAAUUUUUAUGUAUUGGUAUUGAUUCGAUCGAUUUUAUUUUACAAGCAAGCGUUGCUCAACCAACCACAACUCUUGGUUGGAACGCUUCCAUUGUUCUUUGUAUUAAUUUAUUUUCUUCCCAGACUCGUUCUCCAUUACCACUAUCCUUUGUUUAUAUUUGAGAGUUUUUCAUGUUUUUUCUAAUAAUUUGCUGCUCGAAUCUAUUAAAGCUGGGAUUUCAUUAGAUUUAAUUGAUACUGUGAUUCUACAAAUCCAUGGGCAUUUGAACAGUGAUUACUCUCAUUCAAUUUGAUUGAAAAUGGGUUCGUGGUGGGGAUCUUUCUUCUCUCCGGCGAAUACUUAUCGACGCCGCCUCCGUCGAUACGGAUAUAUAUUGAGUAGCUAUCUUAAGGGAAAUGAGAAUGUAGAAACGGCGUGCAUCCAGGUGUUGAACGAUGGUGCACGGGCCUACAAUUGCUGACUCUGACCGCAGCCCUCCGCUGCCGCCCUCAAACAGGUCUUCCGCCGCCGCCGCCGCCGCCGCCGCCGCUUCGUUCGAGGCCACCGCCCCAGCUGUCAGUAUCACUUUCCACCGCAUUUUUCGCCCAAUUGCAGACCACUGCCCCUUCUCGAUCACAUCCGACUUGGAUUACUCAGAUAUUGUCGGUGCCCACCCCUUCUCUCCAACCCAAUCUCACCUUUUCUCCAACCCGAUCUCACUCAUGGUACUCAUCCUAUUUUCUUUCUAAUCCUCUUGUUCUUCUCCAGUUCUCCCAAUUUUUAUGUAUUGGUAUUGAUUCGAUCGAUUUUAUUUUACAAGCAAGCGUUGCUCAACCAACCACAACUCUCGGUUGGAACGAUUCCAUUGUUCUUUGUAUUAAUUUAAUUUCUUCCCAGACUCGUCCGCCAUUACCACUGUCCUUUGUUUAUAUUUCAGAGUUUUUCAUGUUUUUUCUAAUAAUUUUUCGUACUUUGUAAAGUCUGUCUUCUCUUUCUUAUGAGCUUCCUUUUGCUUUAGUUUUUUUUUUGUGUGUGUGUGGAAUAGUUAAAUCUUGUUUAGUUUGAUGCAAGUGCUUUUGUUUGUCUUUCUGGAAUGAAAAUUCGGCACGAGUCAUUUGAGUAACAUAGAUGUUUUGUUCUAUAAAAUUACUCGAAGCAGCAGCUGAUGGGGAGAAGAAACUUGCCGAUGUGCUGUCCGGGGAGCAGGAACGAGGUAAGUGAGAAGUUAUAUGUGUGGAUGAUCAACUGCUUUGGCGUUUGUGCAGUAUGAUGUUAUUUUUUGAAAUAGGAUACAGGUGAGAAACUUUGUCUUCCUAUCGUAAAUUAUUUCUAUUUUUGUAAGCAUGCUCCUUAUCUCAUGUUUUGGGUUUUUGUUUCGGUUUUGGUUUUAGUUUAGGCGAUAUGUGAUUUGUAGAUUGGUUCAACUUCGGUGUUGUUUAGAAGCGAACAUAUGUUUUGGGCUCUGUGUUUCAUGUCUACUUAAAGUUACGCAAAAACAACUUCUGUUGGGUGCCAUAUAUGCCUUCUUUUUAAUAUGUAACUUGCAUAAAUACACGCUGGAAAUUAUUUUUAUUUUGUAA
Molecule: non-coding RNA, 1752 nt
Organism: Erythranthe guttata (spotted monkey flower)
Lineage: Eukaryota; Viridiplantae; Streptophyta; Magnoliopsida; Lamiales; Phrymaceae
Source: RefSeq, a predicted model, not a curated record